CUUACCACCUCGUAGACUAGUCCAGUAGUGGGUGAGUAGAGUAUGUACUUUGGUGGGCACCAGACAUCCAAUAAGAAAAAGUAGCUCCGCCAAUUGUGCACGCAAGCUGCUCAGAGCACAACUCUAACUAUUGAAGGGAGGUGAUCAACUCAAUUGAAAGAGAGGGAUACUCACCUCUUUUCCAAGAAAACUAUGGGAGUCCACGCAAACGCUUUGUUCAUGCAAAUCUUCUUUUACCAAAUUUUAUCUGUUUUUUCAAGUUUGUAGAUUGUGAUAAUAUAACGUAGGUUAGUGUUUUCAACCACUUAUCAUUUUAAUUAAGAACAAAAAGAGUUUGGUAUCUAACAACCCUAGUAACAUGGAAUUACACGAAAACCUUAUGAACUACACAAUCUUAUUGAACCAUAGAAAAGGAUAUUUUAGAUUAAAAGGUAGAAGAAGGGGUGUUUUUG
This 452-nucleotide long non-coding RNA is filed under the name Solanum tuberosum (potato). RNAcentral's name for it is "long non-coding RNA (STUB_LNC008286)". Lineage: Eukaryota; Viridiplantae; Streptophyta; Magnoliopsida; Solanales; Solanaceae. The record is from RNAcentral.